ACUUAGCAUGAGUUUUAGUGUCCAACUUUAAUCGAUCGUUUUAAUUACUUUUUUAAAAAAAAAACUUAAGUCACGCAUAAAGUAUUAUUCAUAUUUUAUAAUCUAAUAACAAUAAAAAUAUUAACCAAAAAAAUUCAAAUAAGGUGGACAAUCAAAGUUGGACACAGAAACUCAUGGCUGCGCUUAUU
Molecule: microRNA precursor, 188 nt
Organism: Oryza sativa Indica Group (long-grained rice)
Lineage: Eukaryota; Viridiplantae; Streptophyta; Magnoliopsida; Poales; Poaceae
Rfam family: MIR812 microRNA precursor family
Source: Rfam